UAACGCGUGGAUAACCUGCCGUAUACAGGGGGAUAACACUUAGAAAUAGGUGCUAAUACCGCAUAAGCGCACGGUUCCGCAUGGAACAGUGUGAAAAACUCCGGUGGUAUACGAUGGAUCCGCGUCUGAUUAGCCAGUUGGCGGGGUAACGGCCCACCAAAGCAACGAUCAGUAGCCGGCCUGAGAGGGUGAACGGCCACAUUGGGACUGAGACACGGCCCAAACUCCUACGGGAGGCAGCAGUGGGGAAUAUUGCACAAUGGGGGAAACCCUGAUGCAGCGACGCCGCGUGAGUGAAGAAGUAUUUCGGUACGUAAAGCUCUAUCAGCAGGGAAGAAAAUGACGGUACCUGACUAAGAAGCCCCGGCUAACUACGUGCCAGCAGCCGCGGUAAUACGUAGGGGGCAAGCGUUAUCCGGAUUUACUGGGUGUAAAGGGAGCGUAGACGGCAGGGCAAGUCUGGAGUGAAAGGCAGGGGCCCAACCCCUGGACUGCUCUGGAAACUGUCCGGCUGGAGUGCAGGAGAGGUAAGUGGAAUUCCUAGUGUAGCGGUGAAAUGCGUAGAUAUUAGGAGGAACACCAGUGGCGAAGGCGGCUUACUGGACUGUAACUGACGUUGAGGCUCGAAAGCGUGGGGAGCAAACAGGAUUAGAUACCCUGGUAGUCCACGCCGUAAACGAUGAGUACUAGCUGU
This 694-nucleotide ribosomal RNA is filed under the name uncultured bacterium. Its description in RNAcentral is "bacterial SSU rRNA". It matches the Rfam family "Bacterial small subunit ribosomal RNA", at positions 111 to 823 of the family's 1533-position model. The record is from RNAcentral.